This is a non-coding RNA of Pimephales promelas (fathead minnow), 573 nucleotides long. The record is from RefSeq and is a predicted model, not a curated record. NCBI's taxonomy places the organism in Eukaryota, Metazoa, Chordata, Actinopteri, Cypriniformes, Leuciscidae.
CAGAGGUCGAGUUCUACGGCAAGUACUACGCCAAGCCGACGACAGUGUGGUCUCUAGGCAUCCUGCUGUUUGCAAUGGUGUGCGGAGCUUAUCCCUCAGACAGCGACCUGUACAUGAUCAACUCAAACAUCUGGAGCAGUCCUGGCCUAUCACAAGAGUGCUGCCAGAUGAUUUGUGAUUGUCUGCAACCUUGGCAACAGCAAAGACCCAUUCUGAAGAAGAUGCAUCUCCACGACUGGUUUAAGGUCAUGGAGUAGUUGAUUCCUGUCUUCAGUCAGUUGUGGUGUCGAGGGCUGUGGGAGUGGAGCGAGGCAGGUGGAGCAAAGACUAAUAAGUGACACCUGUCCCAUGAAGGAGCUCCGGAAGGAUAAAAGGAGGAGGGAUGACAGAGAAGACCACACCUGGGAGAUUUACAUUCUGUUAAUAAAUUUAUGCCACUUACUUUCUUUUUGUGGUUUAUUUGGCUUGAAAGUCAUCUUGUGACAAUGGAUUGUUGAGAUUUGACUGUUUAUUGACUUGAUAAUGCACAUUGACUUGAUUGUUGACGCUUCUUAAUGCACAACUUACUUAACA